UACGGAGGGUGCGAGCGUUGUCCGGAAUCAUUGGGCGUAAAGGGCGCGUAGGUGGCCCGGUCAGCGUGCGGUGAAAGCUCGGGGCUCAACCCCGAGUCGGCCGUGCGAACUGCUGGGCUUGAGCACUGUAGAGGCAGGCGGAAUUCCGGGUGUAGCAGUGGAAUGCGUAGAGAUCCGGAAGAACACCGGUGGCGAAGGCGGCCUGCUGGGCAGUGGCUGACACUGAGGCGCGACAGCGUGGGGAGCAAACAGG
RNAcentral lists this ribosomal RNA (253 nucleotides) under uncultured bacterium. RNAcentral's name for it is "partial 16S ribosomal RNA". It matches the Rfam family "Bacterial small subunit ribosomal RNA", at positions 524 to 776 of the family's 1533-position model. The record is from RNAcentral.